CCUGAUCCAAAAAUGUGUUAGUGUCAAUUUGCUAUUUUAAUAAUCGAAUCCCUUUCUCACAUGUUGACACCCUAAAUUCCACCCUUCUAGCUAACCUUUCAAUCUCUCUUACGUAAUCUAAUUAAAAAAGUUGGCACUAAAUCACAUAAUCUAUUCUUUAUAAGCUUAAUUCAACACUUACCUAGUUGCCUAAGUUUCCUUCAUCAUAUCAUAUCAUACCAUAUAAUAAAUACACUUUAGCCUCAACAAUAUAUCUCUCUCUCUCUCUCACUCUGCUAUACAAUACAACAACAGAUAAUAUAAAAACAUCUCUUCUUGGGUCUAACAAAUCUCUCUGUAGUUACUGCUCUCACAUAAUAUCACUUUGGAAUUGCUUCAUUUUUACUUCUUUUUGUUCUUUCUGCUUUUGCAGAAAAUAUUCUCUUCAUUGUUGUUAUAUGUAAAACCAAACAUCCAUAAUUUAUGUAAAUUUUUUCUUCUCUUUAUCUUAUCUUGUUUCUCUUCAUGUUCUUACACAACAUUCUCUCGAAUACACACAUGCAUCAUGGUUUAUGAAACUUCAUUCAUUUUUAUGAAAAAAUACUAAUAAUUAAUAUUUUUCUUCCUUGUUCUAAAGUACCUUGUGAAAAAAUAUCAAAUUUUUGUUGCAAAAAUUAAGACCCCAAAACAAAAGAUCUUAACUUUUUGCUAUAUUCAGUGUGAGAGAGAAAAAGGGUCAAUGAUAGGUAGUUUCAUUAUUUAAACAAAGUCUAGUAGAGUUGAGAAAAUUGAAGGGGGUGCAAAAAGAAGAAAAAAAAAUGUCUAAAAAGGCUAUGAUGACAUCAUCAAUGAAGGAUGAAAAUCAAGAAUUGCAGAAGCAAAUUGGAUGUAUCAGUGGAUUUUUCCAGUUGUUUGAUCGUCAUAGGUUCCUCACAAGCCACAACAAUAGUCACAAUAUACCAAAUCAAGGUAUAAUUAAUCUAUAUAUACUAUAUAAUAAUAUCUUUAUUUUUAUUUUUAUGCUAUGUAUUUUGAAAAAUUAAUUUUUGUAUGUUGUGUUAUGUU
Molecule: long non-coding RNA, 1044 nt
Filed under: Trifolium pratense (red clover)
Lineage: Eukaryota; Viridiplantae; Streptophyta; Magnoliopsida; Fabales; Fabaceae
Description: long non-coding RNA (TPRA_LNC011232)
Source: RNAcentral